Molecule: ribosomal RNA, 478 nt
Filed under: uncultured bacterium
Lineage: Bacteria
Description: bacterial SSU rRNA
Rfam family: Bacterial small subunit ribosomal RNA
Source: RNAcentral
AUGAACGCUAGCGGGAGGCCUAACACAUGCAAGUCGAACGGGAUCCCCGAGCAAUCGGGGUGAGAGUGGCGCACGGGUGAGUAACGCGUAUGCAACCUGCCUUUAACUGAGGGAUAGCCCAUAGAAAUGUGGAUUAAUACCUCAUAGUCCUUUGGUCCCGCAUGGGAUGGAAGGUAAAGCUCCGGCGGUUAAAGAUGGGCAUGCGUGACAUUAGCUAGUUGGUAAGGUAACGGCUUACCAAGGCUACGAUGUCUAGGGGUUCUGAGAGGAUGAUCCCCCACACUGGUACUGAGACACGGACCAGACUCCUACGGGAGGCAGCAGUGAGGAAUAUUGGUCAAUGGGCGCAAGCCUGAACCAGCCAUCCCGCGUGCAGGAUGAAGGCCCUAUGGGUCGUAAACUGCUUUUAUACACCAAGAAAAACACCCACGUGUGGGUGCCCGACGGUAGUGCAUGAAUAAGCAUCGGCUAACUCCGU